RNAcentral lists this unclassified non-coding RNA (275 nucleotides) under Hevea brasiliensis (rubber tree). The record is from RNAcentral. Lineage: Eukaryota; Viridiplantae; Streptophyta; Magnoliopsida; Malpighiales; Euphorbiaceae.
AAUGUUUCUGACCUUGACCCCAAUUUUCCUUCUUCCGUUGUGUCUCUUUUGCAGAAAUACCAGGAUGUGUUUCCGGAUGAGAUACCUUCAAGUUUGCCACCUAUUAGGGGUAUUAAAUACCAAAUAGAUUUUAUUCCUGGUGCUCAAAUUCCGAAUAGACCAACCUAUAAAGUAGUACAACUGAGACUAAGGAACUUCAAAGAGAGGUAGAUGAGCUUUUGGCCAAGGAACAUGUUCGUGAGAGCAUGAGCCCUUGUGCGGUUCCUGUUUUGCUU